GUACACAAAAAUGCACAUAUUGUGAGCUCGAUGAGUAGGGCGGGACACGUGGUAUCCUGUCUGAAUAUGGGGGGACCAUCCUCCAAGGCUAAAUACUCCUGACUGACCGAUAGUGAACCAGUACCGUGAGGGAAAGGCGAAAAGAACCCCGGCGAGGGGAGUGAAAAAGAACCUGAAACCGUGUACGUACAAGCAGUGGGAGCCUCUUUAUGGGGUGACUGCGUACCUUUUGUAUAAUGGGUCAGCGACUUAUAUUCUGUAGCAAGGUUAACCGAAUAGGGGAGCCGAAGGGAAACCGAGUCUUAACUGGGCGUUAAGUUGCAGGGUAUAGACCCGAAACCCGGUGAUCUAGCCAUGGGCAGGUUGAAGGUUGGGUAACACUAACUGGAGGACCGAACCGACUAAUGUUGAAAAAUUAGCGGAUGACUUGUGGCUGGGGGUGAAAGGCCAAUCAAACCGGGAGAUAGCUGGUUCUCCCCGAAAGCUAUUUAGGUAGCGCCUCGUGAAUUCAUCUCCGGGGGUAGAGCACUGUUUCGGCAAGGGGGUCAUCCCGACUUACCAACCCGAUGCAAACUGCGAAUACCGGAGAAUGUUAUCACGGGAGACACACGGCGGGUGCUAACGUCCGUCGUGAAGAGGGAAACAACCCAGACCGCCAGCUAAGGUCCCAAAGUCAUGGUUAAGUGGGAAACGAUGUGGGAAGGCCCAGACAGCCAGGAUGUUGGCUUAGAAGCAGCCAUCAUUUAAAGAAAGCGUAAUAGCUCACUGGUCGAGUCGGCCUGCGCGGAAGAUGUAACGGGGCUAAACCAUGCACCGAAGCUGCGGCAGCGACACUAUGUGUUGUUGGGUAGGGGAGCGUUCUGUAAGCCUGUGAAGGUGGCCUGUGAGGGUUGCUGGAGGUAUCAGAAGUGCGAAUGCUGACAUAAGUAACGAUAAAGCGGGUGAAAAGCCCGCUCGCCGGAAGACCAAGGGUUCCUGUCCAACGUUAAUCGGGGCAGGGUGAGUCGACCCCUAAGGCGAGGCCGAAAGGCGUAGUCGAUGGGAAACAGGUUAAUAUUCCUGUACUUGGUGUUACUGCGAAGGGGGGACGGAGAAGGCUAUGUUGGCCGGGCGACGGUUGUCCCGGUUUAAGCGUGUAGGCUGGUUUUCCAGGCAAAUCCGGAAAACCAAGGCUGAGGCGUGAUGACGAGGCACUACGGUGCUGAAGCGACAAAUGCCCUGCUUCCAGGAAAAGCCUCUAAGCAUCAGGUAACAUCAAAUCGUACCCCAAACCGACACAGGUGGUCAGGUAGAGAAUACCAAGGCGCUUGAGAGAACUCGGGUGAAGGAACUAGGCAAAAUGGUGCCGUAACUUCGGGAGAAGGCACGCUGAUAUGUAGGUGAAGCGACUUGCUCGUGGAGCUGAAAUCAGUCGAAGAUACCAGCUGGCUGCAACUGUUUAUUAAAAACACAGCACUGUGCAAACACGAAAGUGGACGUAUACGGUGUGACGCCUGCCCGGUGCCGGAAGGUUAAUUGAUGGGGUUAGCGGUAACGCGAAGCUCUUGAUCGAAGCCCCGGUAAACGGCGGCCGUAACUAUAACGGUCCUAAGGUAGCGAAAUUCCUUGUCGGGUAAGUUCCGACCUGCACGAAUGGCGUAAUGAUGGCCAGGCUGUCUCCACCCGAGACUCAGUGAAAUUGAACUCGCUGUGAAGAUGCAGUGUACCCGCGGCAAGACGGAAAGACCCCGUGAACCUUUACUAUAGCUUGACACUGAACAUUGAGCCUUGAUGUGUAGGAUAGGUGGGAGGCUUUGAAGUGUGGACGCCAGUCUGCAUGGAGCCGACCUUGAAAUACCACCCUUUAAUGUUUGAUGUUCUAACGUUGGCCCGUAAUCCGGGUUGCGGACAGUGUCUGGU
RNAcentral lists this ribosomal RNA (1899 nucleotides) under Escherichia coli. Its description in RNAcentral is "partial 23S ribosomal RNA". It matches the Rfam family "Bacterial large subunit ribosomal RNA", at positions 375 to 2262 of the family's 2925-position model. The record is from RNAcentral. Lineage: Bacteria; Pseudomonadati; Pseudomonadota; Gammaproteobacteria; Enterobacterales; Enterobacteriaceae.